ACAAAUAUAAAAUGAUGCAAUGAAAAAUAUUGUUUAUUAGUAGAAUUCACAUGGAAUAAUUAAAAUACCAAAUUCAAUAUGCAUUUGAUUGCAUUAAUGUGGAAUGUAAAAGAUAAAAUUCGAUGCAACAUAGUGAUUGCAAAAUUGUCACGACGACAAUGAUAAUCAUAUAUAACAAAUACAUUUACUAAGAAUGAUUCGAUGAAAAUGGACCGAUAUUUUGGAUUCGUAAAAAAUAGAAACUAUUAAAUGAAACUAACAUAUAAAAAUUUCC
Long non-coding RNA from Apis florea (little honeybee), 274 nucleotides. NCBI's taxonomy places the organism in Eukaryota, Metazoa, Arthropoda, Insecta, Hymenoptera, Apidae. The record is from RefSeq and is a predicted model, not a curated record.